UGAAAGAUUCAGACCUCCCAUAGCCCGAGUGAUUGAUGUAUCUAAUGGGAAAGUUCAUGUUGCUGAAAGCUGUUUGGAAGAAACAGGUGGCCUGGGAGUAGAUAUUGUCCUAGAUGCUGGAGUUGGAUCCUCCAGAUAGCCACUGCCUUUUCCUCAAGGGAGCAACGUUAGCUUUCCUGAAUGAUGAAGUUUGGAAUUUGUCAAAUGUACAACAGGGAAAAUAUCUUUAGUGUUCCAAGUGCCUUGCAAGUAUUAAUUUAAACAUUAAAACAACCUUUUGAGAUGUAAGUACUGUUAUCAUCCCCAUUUCACAGGUGAAGAAUCAAGAACAGAGAUGUUGAUACAGACUCAAGGACGCAGCAAGUGACAGAGCAAGAAUCACACUCAGGCAGUCUUUCUCCUUUCUGAAUGGAGAUGAGCCAUAAGAUACGUGGAAGAUUUUGUUUUUAACCUGACAUUAAGGAAAGUACACAUCACCUUGAAAGGUUGAACACUUACUCCUAU
This 504-nucleotide small RNA is filed under the name Pongo abelii (Sumatran orangutan). RNAcentral describes it as "processed transcript". Lineage: Eukaryota; Metazoa; Chordata; Mammalia; Primates; Hominidae. The record is from RNAcentral.